CCAAACAUGUACAUAUCAUUCAAAAUAGGGUACACCGGCCCCUCAAAAUAUCAACUAUUCAAAUACAACACUGGCAAUUCGACUUUUGCAACAAUUUCUAAACCACAGUACCCAAAAUGCAUAAUAUAUAUACAAAACAUAGCAAGCCCAACACAUGGAACUAAUUUAUGACCAAAAGAGGUGUCUAUCCCAAAAUAUGAACUAUUAAACUGAAAAAAUAAUUCAUACAAUGCUUGACAA
Molecule: long non-coding RNA, 240 nt
Filed under: Olea europaea (common olive)
Lineage: Eukaryota; Viridiplantae; Streptophyta; Magnoliopsida; Lamiales; Oleaceae
Description: long non-coding RNA (OEUR_LNC005547)
Source: RNAcentral